Molecule: ribosomal RNA, 460 nt
Filed under: uncultured bacterium
Lineage: Bacteria
Description: partial 16S ribosomal RNA
Rfam family: Bacterial small subunit ribosomal RNA
Source: RNAcentral
CCUACGGGGGGCAGCAGUGAGGAAUAUUGGUCAAUGGACGAUAGUCUGAACCAGCCAAGUAGCGUUAAGGAUGACUGCCCUAUGGGUUGUAAACUUCUUUUAUAUGGGAAUAAAACGUUCCACGUGUGGGAUUUUGUAUGUACCAUAUGAAUAAGGAUCGGCUAAGUCCGUGCCAGCAGCCGCGGUAAUACGGAGGAUCCGAGCGUUAUCCGGAUUUAUUGGGUUUAAAGGGAGCGUAGGUGGAUUGUUAAGUCAGUUGUGAAAGUUUGCGGCUCAACCGUAAAAUUGCAGUUGAAACUGGCAGUCUUGAGUACAGUAGAGGUGGGCGGAAUUCGUGGUGUAGCGGUGAAAUGAUUAGAUAUCACGAAGAACUCCGAUUGCGAAGGCAGUUCACUGGACUGCAACUGACACUGAGGCUCGAAAGUGUGGGUAUCAAACAGGAUUAGAGACCCCUGUAGUC